This 276-nucleotide small nuclear RNA is filed under the name Cricetulus griseus (Chinese hamster). Its description in RNAcentral is "7SK RNA". It matches the Rfam family "7SK RNA". Rfam says of the family: 7SK was discovered as an abundant small nuclear RNA in the mid-70s but a possible function has only recently been suggested. Two independent studies have found that 7SK RNA binds the CDK9/cyclin T complex (known as elongation factor P-TEFb). Lineage: Eukaryota; Metazoa; Chordata; Mammalia; Rodentia; Cricetidae. The record is from Rfam by way of RNAcentral.
GGAUGUGAGGACAAUCUGGCUGUGACAUCUGUCACCCCAUUGAUCACCAGGGUUGAUUCGGCUGCUCUGGCUGGCUAGGUGGGUGUCACCUUCCUCCCUCACCGCGCCAUGUGCCUCCCUCCUGAAGGUGCACACUCAGUCGAGAAGGACAGGUCUUCAGUCAAGGGUAUAGGAGUAGUUGUGCUCCCCUGCUAGAACCUCCAAACAAGCGCUCAAGAAUUAAAGAGUGUGAGGCAAACACACCCAUCCUCAGAAGCAGGACUGUCACCAGUGCCU